GCCUGGGUGGCUCAGUCGGUUGAGCGUAUGACUUUGGAUCUUGUGGUCUGUGGGUUCGAGCCCCACGUUGGGCU
Molecule: non-coding RNA, 74 nt
Organism: Acinonyx jubatus (cheetah)
Lineage: Eukaryota; Metazoa; Chordata; Mammalia; Carnivora; Felidae
Source: the annotation of a RefSeq genome assembly